Molecule: non-coding RNA, 31 nt
Filed under: Rattus norvegicus (Norway rat)
Lineage: Eukaryota; Metazoa; Chordata; Mammalia; Rodentia; Muridae
Source: RNAcentral
UAGUGGCUACUGAAGGUUUGAUCCUUCGUGA